UGGAUCUUUGCAUCAUAACCC
Molecule: microRNA, 21 nt
Filed under: Physcomitrium patens
Lineage: Eukaryota; Viridiplantae; Streptophyta; Bryopsida; Funariales; Funariaceae
Description: ppt-miR1056
Source: miRBase by way of RNAcentral